RNAcentral lists this ribosomal RNA (236 nucleotides) under uncultured bacterium. Its description in RNAcentral is "partial 16S ribosomal RNA". It matches the Rfam family "Bacterial small subunit ribosomal RNA", at positions 15 to 244 of the family's 1533-position model. The record is from RNAcentral.
GAUCAUGACUUAGGAUGAACGCUAGCUACAGGCUUAACACAUGCAAGUCGAGGGGCAGCAUGACGGAAGCUUGCUUCCGUUGAUGGCGACCGGCGCACGGGUGAGUAACGCGUAUCCAACCUGCCCUUGUCCACCGGAUAACCCGUCGAAAGGCGGACUAACACGGUAUGCAGUCCACAGCAGGCAUCUAACGUGGACGAAAUGUGAAGGAGAAGGAUGGGGAUGCGUCUGAUUAG